CCAUGAACAACGCAAAAAAUAAUCCAACAUUCUACCAAAAAGCGUUCCUACAAAGGCAACUCUCUCUAAACCGUUUUUUGCCCAUGAGGUAUGGAAAUCGUCUAUUAGAAUGGAGAGUAAUUGAAAGGAAAAAUUACCUUUUUUGGUUCUUUCUUUCUUUUUUUCUCGUCGGUCUUGGGUGCAGUGUCAUUCCUUUCUCCGCGUUCCCUCUCUCUCCAGAGUAAAAGAGCGCGGAGGUAGCCUCUGAGUGGGAUUGCAAUGAUUGGCGGGACAU
This 274-nucleotide small RNA is filed under the name Histoplasma capsulatum var. duboisii H88. Its description in RNAcentral is "Ajellomyces capsulatus H88 A. fumigatus sRNA Afu_182". It matches the Rfam family "A. fumigatus sRNA Afu_182". Lineage: Eukaryota; Fungi; Ascomycota; Eurotiomycetes; Onygenales; Ajellomycetaceae. The record is from Rfam by way of RNAcentral.